GGGAAUGUGGCUUAGUGGUAGAGUACUUGUCUAGCAUGCAUGAAGCCCUGGGUUCGAUUCCUCAGUACCA
This 70-nucleotide transfer RNA is filed under the name Dipodomys ordii (Ord's kangaroo rat). It matches the Rfam family "tRNA". Rfam says of the family: Transfer RNA (tRNA) molecules are approximately 80 nucleotides in length. Lineage: Eukaryota; Metazoa; Chordata; Mammalia; Rodentia; Heteromyidae. The record is from Rfam by way of RNAcentral.